Molecule: transfer RNA, 76 nt
Filed under: Marinilabiliales bacterium
Lineage: Bacteria; Pseudomonadati; Bacteroidota; Bacteroidia; Marinilabiliales
Description: tRNA-Lys
Rfam family: tRNA
About the family: Transfer RNA (tRNA) molecules are approximately 80 nucleotides in length.
Source: RNAcentral
GACUCAAUAGCUCAGCUGGUAGAGCACAUCCCUUUUAAGGAUGGGGUCCAGGGUUCGAGCCCCUGUUGGGUCACUA